UGAUCCCCUUCGGGGGUGACGCUUGUGGAAUGAGCGGCGGACGGGUGAGUAACACGUGGGCAACCUGCCUGUAAGACUGGGAUAACCCCGGGAAACCGGGGCUAAUACCGGAUAAUACUUUCUUUUGCAUAAAGGAAAGUUGAAAGGCGGCUUCGGCUGUCACUUACAGAUGGGCCCGCGGCGCAUUAGCUAGUUGGUGAGGUAACGGCUCACCAAGGCGACGAUGCGUAGCCGACCUGAGAGGGUGAUCGGCCACACUGGGACUGAGACACGGCCCAGACUCCUACGGGAGGCAGCAGUAGGGAAUCUUCCGCAAUGGACGAAAGUCUGACGGAGCAACGCCGCGUGAGUGAUGAAGGUUUUCGGAUCGUAAAACUCUGUUGUUAGGGAAGAACAAGUUGGGUAGUAACUGACCCAACCUUGACGGUACCUAACCAGAAAGCCACGGCUAACUACGUGCCAGCAGCCGCGGUAAUACGUAGGUGGCAAGCGUUGUCCGGAAUUAUUGGGCGUAAAGCGCUCGCAGGCGGUCCUUUAAGUCUGAUGUGAAAUCUCGCGGCUCAACCGCGAACGGUCAUUGGAAACUGGAGGACUUGAGUACAGAAGAGGAGAGUGGAAUUCCACGUGUAGCGGUGAAAUGCGUAGAGAUGUGGAGGAACACCAGUGGCGAAGGCGACUCUCUGGUCUGUAACUGACGCUGAGGAGCGAAAGCGUGGGGAGCGAACAGGAUUAGAUACCCUGGUAGUCCACGCCGUAAACGAUGAGUGCUAGGUGGUUAGGGGGGUUUCCGCCCCUUAGUGCUGAAGUUAACGCAUUAAGCACUCCGCCUGGGGAGUACGGCCGCAAGGCUGAAACUCAAAAGAAUUGACGGGGGCCCGCACAAGCGGUGGAGCAUGUGGUUUAAUUCGAAGCAACGCGAAGAACCUUACCAGGUCUUGACAUCCUCUGCUAUUCCUAGAGAUAGG
Molecule: ribosomal RNA, 965 nt
Filed under: Oceanobacillus sp.
Lineage: Bacteria; Bacillati; Bacillota; Bacilli; Caryophanales; Bacillaceae
Description: bacterial SSU rRNA
Rfam family: Bacterial small subunit ribosomal RNA
Source: RNAcentral